UACGAAGGGGGCUAGCGUUGCUCGGAAUGACUGGGCGUAAAGGGCGCGUAGGCGGCUCAUACAGUCAGAUGUGAAAUUCCUGGGCUUAACCUGGGGGCUGCAUUUGAUACGUGUGGGCUUGAGUGGGGAAGAGGGUCGUGGAAUUCCCAGUGUAGAGGUGAAAUUCGUAGAUAUUGGGAAGAACACCGGUGGCGAAGGCGGCGACCUGGUCCUUGACUGACGCUGAGGCGCGAAAGCCAGGGGAGCAAACGGG
This 253-nucleotide ribosomal RNA is filed under the name uncultured bacterium. Its description in RNAcentral is "partial 16S ribosomal RNA". It matches the Rfam family "Bacterial small subunit ribosomal RNA", at positions 524 to 776 of the family's 1533-position model. The record is from RNAcentral.